GAAGACGUGAGAUUCACCUCUAUUUAUAUGUCAUGGAUGGGUGAGAAGCCAGAUGGGAAAGUAGGAGAAAGAAAAGAACAGAAGAUGAAGAAGCUAUCUCAUGGGGCUUUCUGCACUUGCAUUUGUGCUCUUCUGAUAAUAUUGCUAGGACCAUGGUCUCUCAUGGUAGAAACGAGUGCCUCAUACACGGAUCUUCCUUUCCAAGAUACUACUGGUAAAUAUAAUCUUUUCAAAGCAGUUUUUAUACGGUGGACGUUAUAAAGCAUCUGCCCAACGUCCCGAUCAUGGGAAAACACAGAAUGUAUGUGGGCCGCGAUGGACGCUGAAAGACGGUUGGUGGGGCCCACCAUCGUGUCUGUCUGACAUCCACCCCGUCCCUCACUUGUGGAAGUUCAGUCUAUGAUGUGAUGAUGAUCAAGAGUAAUCAAGCGGAUACAGACUCGAGUGGGUCACUGGAAACAGUGCGGAUGAGGCGCGCACCGUUGAAAUCUUCUUCGACUCACCAAAGGUUUAGAUCAGGGAUUCCAUUAUCCGAACGUGGAAGGGAGACCGUCGGGGAUAGACGACCUCACCGGCAUCAUACCCCUCAUAGACGUCAUUACCCGCGUCCUCCCUCUCCUUACAGUAACCCUCCAGUCUCCCCAGUAGGCUUAGAGUCCUGGCAGUCCACUUAAUAUAAACCAAUUCCACUGGAUAUGGAACUCUAGUAAGCACGUGGUUUUUGUACCUCUCUCUCUCUCUCUCUCUCUCUCU
Magnolia sinica is the source of this 753-nucleotide RNA transcript. RefSeq lists it as uncharacterized. The record is from RefSeq and is a predicted model, not a curated record. Lineage: Eukaryota; Viridiplantae; Streptophyta; Magnoliopsida; Magnoliales; Magnoliaceae. The transcript is spliced from 3 exons.